UAGGGAAUCUUCGGCAAUGGACGAAAGUCUGACCGAGCAACGCCGCGUGAGUGAAGAAGGUUUUCGGAUUGUAAAACUCUGUUGUUAGAGAAGAACAAGGACGUUAGUAACUGAACGUCCCCUGACGGUAUCUAACCAGAAAGCCACGGCUAACUACGUGCCAGCAGCCGCGGUAAUACGUAGGUGGCAAGCGUUGUCCGGAUUUAUUGGGCGUAAAGCGAGCGCAGGCGGUUUCUUAAGUCUGAUGUGAAAGCCCUCGGCUCAACCGGGUAGGGUCAUUGGAAACUGGGAGACUUGAGUGCAGAAGAGGAGAGUGGAAUUCCAUGUGUAGCGGUGAAAUGCGUAGAUAUAUGGAGGAACACCAGUGGCGAAGGCGGCUCUCUGGUCUGUAACUGACGCUGAGGCUCGAAAGCGUGGGGAGCAAACAGG
This 429-nucleotide ribosomal RNA is filed under the name Gemmatimonadota bacterium. RNAcentral's name for it is "Gemmatimonadetes bacterium partial 16S ribosomal RNA". It matches the Rfam family "Bacterial small subunit ribosomal RNA", at positions 355 to 776 of the family's 1533-position model. The record is from RNAcentral. Lineage: Bacteria; Pseudomonadati; Gemmatimonadota.